UACGAAGGGGGCUAGCGUUGCUCGGAAUGACUGGGCGUAAAGGGCGCGUAGGCGGAUGGCACAGUCAGAUGUGAAAUUCCCGGGCUUAACCUGGGGGCUGCAUUUGAUACGUGUGAUCUAGAGUGAGGAAGAGGGUCGUGGAAUUCCCAGUGUAGAGGUGAAAUUCGUAGAUAUUGGGAAGAACACCGGUGGCGAAGGCGGCGACCUGGUCCUUGACUGACGCUGAGGCGCGAAAGCGUGGGGGGAGCAAACAGGAUUAGAUACCCUGGUAGUCCACGCUGUAAACGAUGUGUGCUGGAUGUUGGGCGACCUAGUCGCUCAGUGUCGUAGCUAACGCGAUAAGCACACCGCCUGGGGAGUACGGCCGCAAGGUUGAAACUC
RNAcentral lists this ribosomal RNA (381 nucleotides) under uncultured bacterium. Its description in RNAcentral is "bacterial SSU rRNA". It matches the Rfam family "Bacterial small subunit ribosomal RNA", at positions 524 to 902 of the family's 1533-position model. The record is from RNAcentral.